GACGAACGCUGGCGGCGUGCUUAACACAUGCAAGUCGAACGGAAAGGCCCUGCUUUUGUGGGGUGCUCGAGUGGCGAACGGGUGAGUAACACGUGAGUAACCUGCCCUUGACUUUGGGAUAACUUCAGGAAACUGGGGCUAAUACCGGAUAGGAGCUCCUGCUGCAUGGUGGGGGUUGGAACGUUUCGGCGGUUGGGGAUGGACUCGCGGCUUAUCAGCUUGUUGGUUGGGUGGUGGCUUACCAAGGCUUGCACGGGUAGCCGGCCUGAGAGGGUGACCGGCCCCAUUAGGCCUGAGAUACGGCCCAGACUCCUACGGGAGGCAGCAGUGGGGAAUAUUGCACAAUGGGCGGAAGCCUGAUGCAGCAACGCCGCGUGCGGGAUGACGGCCUUCGGGUUGUAAACCGCUUUCGCCUGUGACGAAGCGUGAGUGACGGUAAUGGGUAAAGAAGCACCGGCUAACUACGUG
RNAcentral lists this ribosomal RNA (468 nucleotides) under uncultured bacterium. Its description in RNAcentral is "partial 16S ribosomal RNA". It matches the Rfam family "Bacterial small subunit ribosomal RNA", at positions 28 to 507 of the family's 1533-position model. The record is from RNAcentral.